CCUCCGGGACUUGAACAGGUCCGACUGGUGCGGUCUAAACAGGGAUCUCCUCUUCAUGCUCGAUCUAAGGCUCUACAAUGGGUGUUGUUGCAUGUGCUCUAUGUUGUGCUCUGCCUCUACCUUUCCCCUACCUCGGCUCCGACCCCUAUCCUAGUAGUGGCUGUAACAGGGGGCUCUGGAUCCUGCCUGAUUUUAGAUUUUGUGUGUUUCCUCACAAUCUGUGAGAGAAUAAGAAUAUAAUGGUUCAAACUUUAGUAAUAGAAUAAAGCCGCACGAUAGAUAAAGAAAGAAGUAAAAUUUUCCUAAAGCCCUAUAGCCUCGAGAAGAUAAGUACAGACGUCUCCAUAUUGAUCCUCCAUACUCUACUAAGCUUGCUCAUGACUCGCGAUACCUAUGCAACUUACUCUGAUACCAACUUGUUAUGAUUCGGAAUCCCAACCUCGGGGCCGUGAUGGCGCCUAACAUUUCACUUGCUAGGCAAGCCAACGUUAGCUAAUUACUUACCAGAUUUAACCUUUUAAAAUAGAACAUAAAUAAUAAGAAGCUAUAAUAGUCUGAAAUAAAUGUGAUAAAUGCAACGUAGCGUAGUCUAAACAUAUCCCAGAAAUCUGGAGUCCUGAAUACAUGAGCAUACUAUAAUUAUACAGUUAAAAUCAAACAAAUUACAACUGUUCGAAAUAAGGAAAACACUAAAGAUAGGGUAGAAGGGGACUUUAAGAUAUGUGAACGCUAGCAACUCUACCGCAAGUAUCCGAAAGAAGUUGAAUCUGAACAGUCUCCACUACGCGUCGCUGAGACCAAAUCGGUCCGGUAUAUGUACAAUUACAGAAGUAUAGCAUGAGUACAACUGACCCCAUGUACUAUGUAAGUGUUGAGCCUAACCUCGACGAAGUAGUAACGAGACUAUGGCAAGCCACUCACAAAUAACAUGUACGAAAUAAUAAUAACAGAAAAUAGGAAUAGAAAUAAAGCAAUAAAUUCAUAUAAACGGACCCAAAGGUCCACUACCAGAGGACCCCAGAAAAACAUAAAUCUCAAAUCUCAUAUCAUAAUACUAAGAGUAAACUCUACCGCCACAAACAACUACAACACAUCAAAUCCAUUGCGGCGUGCAACCCGAUCCCAAGUUUCAACAUAAUAUCUUUUACAACGUACAACUCAUUCCCAAUACCAAUAUCAUAUCAUUUCUUAUUAUUGUGUUGCGACGUGCAACCCGAUCCCCAAAUAUCAAUUCCUUUCAAUACUGUUGCGAAGCGUAACCCGAUCCUCCAAUAUAAAUUUAUCAACAUAAAUGACUCAACACCACUGUUGAUACAAUUUUACCCUCAUAUUUUAUAAAAUAUUUCAUAUACUUUCAAAACAUCAUUUUGUACUAUUACCCAAUUUAUAGGGGAAUAUAAGUAUUUUCUAUAAUUUUUAAAGCUUUAAAAUUAAUUUUCUUACACGUUCAAAUAUUUAUUAAUUAUUCCUUGAAAUUAUAUUAUGGUGACUUAAUCAUUCAAAUUUAUUAUUUGUAUCCACACACAUCUUAUAGUAUUUUACUCCUUUUUUACAUAAUUAUAGUUGCCUUUUCUAUAAUAUUUGCAAUAAUAGCAUGUAUUCUCAUAGUAAUUACAUUUCAUUGUAUUAUUUAUGUCCAAAUAGCAUCUUUAUAUUUUUAUAAUCCUGAGUUAUUAUUUUUAAGUAUUUAACAUCUUAAAUAAUAUUUUUUAUUUAUUUUAUAGAUAUUUUUAUAAUUUAUUUUAAUAAAUUUCGUGUAUUUUAAAAUUAUAGCCCAAGAUAGGGCUAAUUUUCGGACCAUUUAAGGUCCAAAUGAACAUGCCCAUCCCAAUUGACCCCACAAGCCAAAACAAAAUUGCUCUCUUUAAGACUAGGUCGCGACCCAUUACACAAACUCGCCACAUAUUCUUUAAAUCAUGGCCGUUAAUCUCUCAAGAUCAACGGCCCAUAAUCACCCCACCCUUUUAAUUGACCAAACCCUCAGAAACCCUACCUAUUUCACGUCCCCAGGUUCGUGUUCGCGAUGAAGACCACAACCAUUUCCCCCAGGUCAUCCCAAAGCAUCACGUUUGUGAGACGCCUGUUGAGUUCGCGACGAGUAAGCCUCUCAUUGCUUCAAAUUCGCGACCGGGACUUGCAUUCACAAAGACCAACCAGCCCCUAACCCAAGUUUCCCCUUCGCAAUCUUGAAGCACAAGACACCACACACUAGAAACAACAGUUUACAAGUUCAAAAUAAUCUAAAACUCACAUGAGCCCCUCUGGCUCCAAACUAGACAUGCACACAAGUGUAAUAAUAUCAUAUAAACUUUCUCGCACAAUCAAAAUACCAUAAUUACACCUGGAACCACGAAUCGAACAUCAAAACACAUAAAAUUCAAAAGGAAACUCAAGAGUAGCUAGAAACUCAAUCAAGUGUCUGAUUCCUAUCAAACCAACUAGGAACUGCACCAAAUUUUGCAUACAAGUUUCAAAUAACAAAACAGAACUAUUUCAAGUUCCAAAACCAAAAUUCGAACCCGAUAACCAUAAAGUAAACCUAUGGUCAAAUUUAAAGAGUUUCCAAACAUUCAAAUCGCUAACUUUAGGCAAAAUAAGACAAAUCAACCUAGGGACAUCCGAAUUCAAUUCCGGGUAUACGCUCAAGUCAAAAAUCACAAUACGAACCUACUAAAAUCGUCAAAUCGCUGAUCCGAGGUUGUUUACCCAAAAUAUUAACGGUAGUCAGCACAAGUUGUUUUUAAAGCCAAAGAUCACUUUUUUUAAUUUUUUUACGUAAAAUAUUUCUGAAAGAUGAUACAAGCCACUCACGCUAAUCAAGAAGUAUUGAAUGAAGCUAAUAGAGGUCUUAAAAUGUAGAAAUAAGGGCUAGCACUCAAAACAACCUAUCUAGUCGUCACAAGAACCAAUGAAUUUGAAUAAUGUUUAGUGCACGGGACAAGCUGGGAGAGAGAAGAUUUAAUGCAACAGUUACAAAAGAAGAAGGACCAGUGGGGAGGCAGUUGGGUUUUUUGUGAUGACCCGAUCAUUUUUAGUUUUAGAAGUUCGAAUUAUGUUUCGAGAAUUUUGGUAGCCUGGGAUAGUUAUUUGGGACUUGUAUGCAAAUUUGGGACUUGUACACAAGUAUAUAUUAUGUUGAAAAGUAAGCUACACAUUCUCUUCAUAUGUCACCCCAUUUCUCCUAUUUUUCUUUCUGGGUAUGUAUGGUUGACUUAAAGCCAGUGGCGAAACUAGAAAUUUCUCCAAAGGUGUUUAAAUUUAAAAGAAGGGGAAAAAAAUUCGACAAAAGGUGUUCAAUAUGUGCUAUAUACUUCAAAAGCGUAAUAUUUUGCCUCUGUAAACAGUGCAAUUUUUCGACGAAGGGUGGUUAGUUGACCACCCUUAUCAACAUGUGGCUCCGGCACUGCUUAAGGCAGUAUAAUUGUGUUAAAAUUUACUGUAACUUUAAUGAUAGAAUUUGGGUUUUUGCUUAUUCAUUUUCUUCAUUUGUUAGGUUCCUGAUCCUCUAGAAGAAGGUACUAGUCCAGAUCUUGAAGUGGUCAGUUAUUUAUUAUUUCUGCUGCAUUUACAUGGUUUUCUUGUAUUUGGGGUUCUAAUGCAAGUUUUUGAAGUUCUAUUGAAAUGCCAAGUUUCUGAAGUUCUAUUUUUCUUGACUGUCGAAAUGCAUUAUUGCUAUUUUGAUAUAUCUAUGCUACUUUCUUGAUUAACUCUGUUUUUAUAAGUGAAAGUUUGUGUUAUAACAAAAGUGCAAUAAAUUAUUCUAAAUUAGUUGCAGUAUUUUUAGAAAAGAGAAAAUCUAGCUCAAUUGAAAAUUUAACCAAACUAACAUUGUAAUUCAAUUUAAUUUAGUGUAUAAAUUGUUCUCUAUCUAAACACACAGGAAAAUACUUCUAUAAUCUAAAUAUGGAGAGACUCUACUUUGAUAGACUAAUGAAUAAAAUUGGACGACUCCAAGGGUCAUAUGAUACUUAUGGAAUCUGCAAAAACCAUUAUAUCUAAAAGUGGAGCAGUCGACAUCAAUUUUUCCACAGAAUAGACAACAGGCAAGUGGGAUAAUCAAAGGGAAAAAAAGGAGAUAAGCAAGCAAAUAAAAAGCUUACCUUUUUAACUAAGAAGUGGAGAACUCUAAGAAACUCAGUAUAAGUAUGUAGUAGAGAACCCCAAGAAACACAGUCCUCAGAGUAGAGUAUCAAAAAAAGUAGAUAUCUUGUCGAUAUUAGAAUAAAUUUAGCAGUUGGGAAUUUAUAGUAAGGAUCGGAGAUAAAGGAUCGGUGAAGUUGGGAUUUUUUAGCAGAUGAAGAGAACAUAGGAGAAAGUCAUAGAGGAUAAUAGAGCAGGUGGUGAAAAGAUGAAGAUGACCCUACAGAGAAUAGGACAGGUGCG
This 4383-nucleotide long non-coding RNA is filed under the name Nicotiana tabacum (common tobacco). RNAcentral describes it as "long non-coding RNA (NTAB_LNC016677)". The record is from RNAcentral. Lineage: Eukaryota; Viridiplantae; Streptophyta; Magnoliopsida; Solanales; Solanaceae.